GAUGAACGCUGGCGGCGUGCUUAACACAUGCAAGUCGAACGGUGAAGGCGGAGCUUGCUCUGCUGGAUCAGUGGCGAACGGGUGAGUAACACGUGAGCAAUCUGCCCCUGACUCUGGGAUAAGCGCUGGAAACGGCGUCUAAUACUGGAUACGAGCUGCGAAGGCAUCUUCAGCAGCUGGAAAGAACUUCGGUCAGGGAUGAGCUCGCGGCCUAUCAGCUUGUUGGUGAGGUAACGGCUCACCAAGGCGUCGACGGGUAGCCGGCCUGAGAGGGUGACCGGCCACACUGGGACUGAGGCACGGACCAGACUCCUACGGGAGGCAGCAGUGGGGAAUAUUGCACAAUGGGCGAAAGCCUGAUGCAGCAACGCCGCGUGAGGGACGAUGGCCUUCGGGUUGUAAACCUCUGUUAGCAGGGAAGAAGCGAAAGUGACGGUACCUGCAGAAAAAGCGCCGGCUAACUACGUG
Molecule: ribosomal RNA, 468 nt
Filed under: uncultured bacterium
Lineage: Bacteria
Description: partial 16S ribosomal RNA
Rfam family: Bacterial small subunit ribosomal RNA
Source: RNAcentral